CCUCGCUUCCCUCUUGGCGGACUUCCCCGCCCUUCCCUAAGCCUUUCCCGGCUCCUUCGGCCUGUUCACCUGCUGGCAAGAGCCGAGGGGCCGGCGCGGAGCUCUCACGGGCCCAGGGGCUGUCGCGUUGCUGGAGCCCGUAGUACGGGCGCCGCCCGCCUCCCUCGCCGGGGGACGCCCCUCCUCCCUCGCUGAGGCCCCACGGGGGUGGGGGUGUGAGGGGAAACUGAGGCCCGGCCGGAGGCGCCGCCUCUGUGCCUGCUGGGAUGACGUAACCUCAGACCCAGGGGCGAGCAGCUGCGUGCUGGGAGCCCUCGCUUUUCUCAGAACCGGGCCAGGGCUGAAGAGCUAAAGGUCUCCCGGGAGCGGGAAUGAGCCUCUGCCCCGGUGCGUUUCCCUACAAGAGCCACCCGAAGUCCCCCUCCCACCAAUCGGUCCCCCGAGGCUGCUCGAUCCGGUCGCUCUAUACAAUAAGCCCCCUCCCGAGAGGCCAGUCCGGUGUCCGGGCGAUUCUCACUACGGGACCUGCUCUCCCCCGGCACCUGCCGCCCUGAGCCCGCCGGCCGCUGGCCGGCCCUGCCAGGAGCAGCAGAGGGAAGCCGAGGCGCGGCUGCACAGCGACGGCCUGUCCGCGGCCGCUCCGAGCGGCGCCCUGCUUGGUCGGGCCCAGAGCCGCCCGUUCUCCCUUCCAGAGGCUGCCAGGAAGCCCCAGCAGGGCCUGAGCCGCACGUGGAAGGGAGCCCGGAAUGGCCGGAGGAGCUACCAGGUGCACCACCCCGGUGUCCGUGGCUGAGGAGGAGGCGCCCAUAUCGUCGUGCAGUUGGGGGGGCCCAACGCUCGGCCCAUCAGAGCCACCCGCACAGAAAACGGAAGCAAUGGGAAGAAAGCGGAAUUUACUCCGUGGACUUCUGAGCCCCCUCAUCCAGGGCUGAGACGCGCUAGAGCGUGGCCCGGUAACUGGUGCGCGACCGUUUUAGUCCACUUCUCCUUACGGGGGUAAACUGAGGCACGGUUGGAGAGCUUUACGAUUUAACUGCCUUUCCUGCCGCCUGAAGGGAUGCGAUUUGCAUUCACAGCUGCUCUAACUCCCACCCCCACCUCAGGGGGCCGACGGACAGCUUGCCGGGAGUCCGCCACUGGAGGCUCCUAAGCACUGAUGGGGUUCCACCAAGAUCUCACCUGUGCCUCAUUUGGCUUCUGCUGAAUACGGCCUAGAAACUGGUCCCCGGGACUGCGGAGGCUCCUGAGCAUCAGGCUGCAGGUGCCCCCGCUCCCUCCCUCCUCCUGCCCUGACUGCCUGUGCCCUCCUGCCUGUCGGCAGCAUCACCCACCACCGUGGUCUCUGCUGCACCUGCUCUCCCCCCUUCCUUUCCGACCAGCCACGAGGGAUCCGUCCAGUCCGCUUCCUGUCACCCCGACGAGUGCCGAAUCUCUGGACCUCAUUAGUCCUCUGGCCGCAAGAAGCCAAGUUGUUCUAUAAAAGUGAUUUUAAAAAGUGAUUAUAAAAAAGUGAUAUAAAAAAAGUGAUUAUAAAAGGCUGAUUCCAGAAAGGCCUGGGAAGAUCGACGCCAGCUGAUGCUGAGUGAAACGAGCGGAACCAGGAACGCACUGUGACAGCAAGAGCAAGGAGCACAGUAACAACAUGAUCGAGUGGGACAGGCCCGGUUCUUCUCAGUGCUCAGUGACCCAAGGCAGUCCUUUUUUUCCCCUUUCUUCUGUUUUUUCCUCUCAUAAUUUUUCCCUUUUGUUCUGAUUUUUCUCUCACAACAUGCUUCAUAGGCAAAUGUUUUUGUUUUGUUUUUUUAAUGAAUGUACUAGCUGUGUGAUCCUGGGCAAGUCACUUAACCCCAAUUGCCUCAGCAAAAAAAAAAAAAAAAAUGCAUAUAAAAUUAGAAAAAACUUUUUAAAAAAGAAGCCAUGUUGCAGUGGAAGAAGCUACCACGUUUCAAGUUAGAGGGAGUAGGUCCAAAUCCUAGCUCAGCUCCUGGAUUUUGCUUCUUUUACAGAUGGUCCAGAAGGUUCUGGAGCUACAGAGGGGUUGGGGAGGGGUUCUCCCCCUCGGGAUUAGCGGGAAGUAAAUCGGGCGCUAAAUAACAAAGGGUUGGGACCCGCAGACCAGAGUCUGCCUCAGCAUCUCCUCCUGGCGGGACCUUGGCUUUCUGCCCCGGAAGCCGGCCCCUGCGCCUCUCUGGCCUCUCCCAGCCCUGCUCUUCUUCAGUUUUUAUAAGAAACUGGACUUUGGUCCCACUCUCUGUCAUCCCCCUCUGCGGGAGCCUGGACCAGGCCGAGCUUCCCAGGGAGCCUCAGCCCCCGGGGCUGCAGAAUGGGGGUGGGGAUGGCCUGAGCCAGCCUCCAAGGGAGGGGACUGAGAGGCGCAGGAAGGGCAUGGGGAGCGCCCACUCCCCCGCUUGGCGGAGGGAGUUGAGGGGAGUGACUGAGGAG
This is a long non-coding RNA of Sarcophilus harrisii (Tasmanian devil), 2442 nucleotides long. The record is from Ensembl. Lineage: Eukaryota; Metazoa; Chordata; Mammalia; Dasyuromorphia; Dasyuridae.